Molecule: non-coding RNA, 608 nt
Organism: Chiloscyllium plagiosum (whitespotted bambooshark)
Lineage: Eukaryota; Metazoa; Chordata; Chondrichthyes; Orectolobiformes; Hemiscylliidae
Source: RefSeq, a predicted model, not a curated record
GGUGGAUUGGCCAUGCUAAAUUACACCAUCGUGUUCAGGGCUGUGUGGGUUAGGGUGGAUUGGGGGGGCGUUGCUGAACGAGGACGUAUUUGCGGAGUAAGACGCCCUCGAGGCAUUCCCUUGAAAUCUCCGGGGUGGGGAGAGAAGAGUUUGUCGGCGAUCUUGGAUGCGAGGGAAGGCAGAAUUCAUGGUAGUUCCCAAUAGAUUAUCACGGAACUUUCCCCUCCCCCGCCCCCCCCCCCCCCGGCAGUGUGGAAGCAGGCCCAUCGGGUGCACGCUGCGGGGAGCGUCCCACCUGGGCAAGGGGAGAGAGCGCCUCAGGUCCGUCGUAGGGCGAAGGCGUUUUGUUUUGCUUUGCUUCCUCCCGCUCUCGUAACCGCCUCUCGUGCAGAUCCUGUGCCACCUCAUCAACAGCCUGAACCCCCCGGAGAGGCGCCCCAUCAAAAGGAUCCAGGCUUCUGAGAGGGCCUUCACUCAGAUGGAGCAGAUCUCCCAGUUCCUCAAGGCUGCCACGGACUACGGGCUGACAGCCACUGACCUCUUCCAGACCGUGGACCUGUGGGAAGCUAAGAAUUUAGCAGCCGUUCAACAAUCUCUGCUAGCCCUCG